CUAUGCUCAGCCCUAAACAUAAAUAAUUUAAAUAACAAAAUUACUUGCCAGAGAACUACUAGCAACAGCUUAAAACUCAAAGGACUUGGCGGUGCUUUACAUCCCUCUAGAGGAGCCUGUUCUGUAAUCGAUAAACCCCGAUAAACCUCACCACUUCUAGCUAAAUCAGUCUAUAUACCGCCAUCUU
RNAcentral lists this ribosomal RNA (187 nucleotides) under Vormela peregusna (marbled polecat). RNAcentral describes it as "partial small subunit ribosomal RNA". Lineage: Eukaryota; Metazoa; Chordata; Mammalia; Carnivora; Mustelidae. The record is from RNAcentral.